This 290-nucleotide transfer RNA is filed under the name Jungermannia pumila. RNAcentral's name for it is "partial tRNA-Leu". The stretch from base 1 to 210 matches the Rfam family "Group I catalytic intron", at positions 27 to 253 of the family's 253-position model. Rfam says of the family: Group I catalytic introns are large self-splicing ribozymes. They catalyse their own excision from mRNA, tRNA and rRNA precursors in a wide range of organisms. The record is from RNAcentral. Lineage: Eukaryota; Viridiplantae; Streptophyta; Jungermanniopsida; Jungermanniales; Jungermanniaceae.
UCAAGAUAUUGACUGAGUGAUUGUUUCCAUAUUCAGGGAAAUCUGGGUUGAAAGAAAAACAUAGUAGGUGAUCCUGAGCCAAAUUUAAAGUACAAAAUAGGUGCAGAGACCCAAAGGAAACUAUCCAAUUGAAAACUAUAAUAUUUAGAUAUAGAUAAAUUUNUGUUAGAUAUGGAUAAAGAUAGAGUCCAUUUUUACAUGCUAUAUCUAGUUAGCAACGAUGUAAAUCAUUGUAAAAAGAAAAUCCGUUGGCUUUUUAGACCGUGAGGGUUCAAGUCCCUCUACCCCCA